Molecule: long non-coding RNA, 748 nt
Filed under: Ananas comosus (pineapple)
Lineage: Eukaryota; Viridiplantae; Streptophyta; Magnoliopsida; Poales; Bromeliaceae
Description: long non-coding RNA (ACOM_LNC012529)
Source: RNAcentral
UUACUAUAAGUCAAUUUAAAAUGAUAGAAUAUAAAUCUAAAUAAUUAAUUAUAAAAAAUUAAAAUUUUGGAAGGUGAAAAUAAAUUUUUUUGAAUUUAGAUGGCUAUAUACAAGAGGGUUAAAGUUUGGACAACUUUGAUGCGUUUCUUAACGCACUGAAUCAAAUCUCCAAUAUUGUGAAAACAACCGUUGUAGUCUAAAAGACUAAGCUAUUAGAGAACGGUGUUAAAACAUUUUUAUAUUUAACACUCUCAUCGCUCGAGACUUUUUAGUCGGCCCAUGACGUGGGCUUAAAUAAAAUGGGAGAAAAUUAAUAUGCUAGUAGUCUGGUGUGACUCGAACUCAGAACCUCUUGCUCUGAUACCAUGUGAAAACAACCGUUAUAAUCUAAAAGCUUAAUCUAUUAAAGAAUGGUGUUUAUAUAAUUUUAUAUUCAACAAGUACUAAUAACUUGUUGGCCAAAAUAUUAAGCCAAAAUACAUGCACCCAAGUUACUGAUUGUAAAGUAAUAGUUCUUAUAUAAUCAUACAUAAUUAAUUCUACAUCUGAUAUGAAAUUAUUGGGGCGUGACAAAUAUUUGUGACCACGCCUAAUUUGAGUCUAAAUUUUUAGGUUCUAAUCUAAAAUUUUAUCAUUCAAAUCUCUUAACCCUUUAAUUUCAUUCAUUAUCACUUUAUUAGAAUCUCUAAAUAUUUUUUUUGCUCUUAUCUCUUCUCCAAUUCCUCUAAUUUUUCUUUUUAAAUAGAAA